GCAAUACGGAGCGGCAGACGGGAGAGUAACACGUGGGAACGUACCCUUCAGUACGGAACAACCAAGGGAAACUUUGGCUAAUACCGUAUACGUCCGUAAGGAGAAAGAUUUAUCGCUGAAGGAUCGGCCCGCGUCUGAUUAGCUUGUUGGUGAGGUAACGGCUCACCAAGGCGACGAUCAGUAGCUGGUCUGAGAGGAUGAUCAGCCUCACUGGGACUGAGACACGGCCCAGACUCCUACGGGAGGCAGCAGUGGGGAAUAUUGGACAAUGGGCGCAAGCCUGAUCCAGCCAUGCCGCGUGGGUGAUGAAGGCCCUAGGG
This 320-nucleotide ribosomal RNA is filed under the name uncultured bacterium. RNAcentral's name for it is "bacterial SSU rRNA". It matches the Rfam family "Bacterial small subunit ribosomal RNA", at positions 85 to 422 of the family's 1533-position model. The record is from RNAcentral.